UACGUAGGGCGCAAGCGUUGUCCGGAAUUAUUGGGCGUAAAGAGCUCGUAGGUGGCGUGUCGCGUCUGCCGUGAAAGCCCAUGGCUUAACUGUGGGUCUGCGGUGGAUACGGGCAGGCUGGAGGCUGGUAGGGGCAAGCGGAAUUCCUGGUGUAGCGGUGAAAUGCGCAGAUAUCAGGAGGAACACCGGUGGCGAAGGCGGCUUGCUGGGCCAGUUCUGACGCUGAGGCGCGAAAGCGUGGGGAGCGAACAGG
Molecule: ribosomal RNA, 253 nt
Filed under: uncultured bacterium
Lineage: Bacteria
Description: partial 16S ribosomal RNA
Rfam family: Bacterial small subunit ribosomal RNA
Source: RNAcentral